AUUGAACGCUGGCGGCAGGCCUAACACAUGCAAGUCGAACGAGUGGCGGACGGGUGAGUAAUGUCUGGGAAACUGCCUGAUGGAGGGGGAUAACUACUGGAAACGGUAGCUAAUACCGCAUACCAUCGGAUGUGCCCAGAUGGGAUUAGCUAGUAGGUGGGGUAACGGCUCACCUAGGCGACGAUCCCUAGCUGGUCUGAGAGGAUGACCAGCCAAACUGGAACGGGGAAAGGGUCCAGACCCCUACGGGAGGAGCCAGUGGGGAAUAUUGCAAAAUGGGCGCAAGCCUGAGGCAGCAAUGCGGCGUGUAUGAAGAAGGCCUUCGGGUGGUAAAGUACUUUCAGCGGGGAGGCGUUACCCGAAGAAGAAGCACCGGCUAACUCCGUGCCAGCAGCCGCGGUAAUAC
RNAcentral lists this ribosomal RNA (406 nucleotides) under uncultured bacterium. RNAcentral's name for it is "partial 16S ribosomal RNA". It matches the Rfam family "Bacterial small subunit ribosomal RNA", at positions 29 to 526 of the family's 1533-position model. The record is from RNAcentral.